RNAcentral lists this ribosomal RNA (497 nucleotides) under uncultured bacterium. RNAcentral describes it as "partial 16S ribosomal RNA". It matches the Rfam family "Bacterial small subunit ribosomal RNA", at positions 28 to 507 of the family's 1533-position model. The record is from RNAcentral.
GAUGAACGCUGGCGGCGUGCUUAAUACAUGCAAGUCGAGCGAACAGACGAGGAGCUUGCUCCUCUGACGUUAGCGGCGGACGGGUGAGUAACACGUGGAUAACCUACCUAUAAGUCUGGGAUAACUUCGGGAAUCCGGAGCUAAUACCGGAUAAUAUAUUGAACCGCAUGGUUCAAUAGUGAAUGACGGUUUUGCUGUCACUACUAGAUGGAUCCGCGCCGCAUUAGCUAGUUGGUAAGGUAACGGCUUAUCACGGCAACGAUGCGUAGCCGACCUGAGAGGGUGAUCGGCCGCACGAGAGGUGAAACACGGUCCAGACGCCUACGAGAGGCAGCAGUAGGGAAUCUUCCGCAGUGGGCGAAAGCCUGACGGAACGACGCCGCGUGAGUGAUGGAGGUCUUCGGAUCGUGAAACUCGCUUAUGAGGGAAGAACAAAUGUGUAAGUAACUAUGCACGUCUUGACGGUACCGAAUCAGAAAGCCACGGCUAACUACGUG